RNAcentral lists this long non-coding RNA (2089 nucleotides) under Parus major (Great Tit). Its description in RNAcentral is "lncRNA (ENSPMJG00000018518.1)". The record is from RNAcentral. Lineage: Eukaryota; Metazoa; Chordata; Aves; Passeriformes; Paridae.
CAGCUAUCUUUAAUAAUGCUGUCUUUAUUCACCAGACUCCUUUCUCACCUAUUACGUGUUCUGAUGCUGAGUUCAACAAAACCUAUAUUGUGUUAGAAGUACUACUACAUAACUGAGCUACUUUGCUACUUAAAAAGCUGUUUCUAGCCAAAUAAUAUUUUUUACUUACUCUUGCUAAUAUUGUAUACUUGUUUGGCUCAGGAAAGCACAAAAACAUUGGACCUUGGCCAGAAAAUGUUCCUAUUGUUUUUUUCUAAAGAGUUGGCAGAAAGCAGUUUUUUAUUUUAACUCGAUCUUCACUGUUUGGCAAGGAAAUUCAAUCUAGACCUCUUUAGAGAUAAUAUUCUAGAAAUGAGAAAAUACAAACAAUAGAGACUUACAUGUCUGUACUGAAGCCCAUUCCCAUUUGACCUUGGCUAUUUUUCUUGUAGCAAUGCAUCAUUUUGUUAUCUGCUCUUAUAUCUGUUAUUUAAAAAUUCCUCUAUUUCAGGGUUAAUAAAGCUGAAAUCCAGAACUUCAUCCUUCAUGUUAAUGCCUCAAAUUUGACUGAGGUGUUUCUUCCAUUAUUGGGAAGAAAGCAGUUGAAGUAGCCCUGCAGACUGGUUAUUCAUCCAGGAGGACAACAUCUUUUAUGACCAACAGGUAUUUUUAGAAGACAGAAUGUUCCUUCAAUAAAGCUUGCAGAAUCUGUUCCAGUAGAACUAUGCCUGUUUGAUGGAAAAAAAUGUUCCAGAGGAAUGUUCGUUUUGUCAUAGAUAUCAACAGAAAAUCAGCAGGGAGGUGAGCUUUUAUUUUCUUGCCAGGUUUUGUACCAAUCCAGCAGCUUGUCAACAGCUGCAUGACCUCUUUUCUAAGCUCUCUAGGCUCUUGACCUGGCACGUUCUUGAGCUCCUUAGUCUCCCAGUUCAUCACUUGAUGGUCAGCCAGCUCUGUCUCUGGCUGCUUGUAUGGAUCACGGAGUGGCUUGCUGCUGGCUUGCCUAAACUUCCAAGUGUCUUGCUAACUGGCUUUCUUCCCUUCUUCUAUUUAGCUCCUCAAAUGCCUUUUCCACAGACUACCUCGGGCCUCAUCUCCUUGGCGUUUGAGGCGUGGUUACUGAGAGUGGUUUAUUGUCCAUCCAGCUGGCUCCCUGGUGGGACAGCGGCUCACCUUGAAUAAUCUUUACUGAGAGACUGCAACAACUCUACGAGGGUUCUCAUGAGCUUCUGUGUAGAGAAUCUGUGCACCAAAGAGAGAGUAAGUACGAAUCCACUGACCAUUGUGAUCUACUCUGUCAAUAAUAUCCAUACUGAAGAGAAGUCAUUCAUCUGCAGAUUGGAGUCAUCUGCAGGACUCCCUUACACAUCCAACUCUGCAUUCUCUAUGCGACCACAUAUUGAUAACAUGCCUAUAAAAUUCUUGAGUAUGUGCUUUGCAGAGGAAAACUAAUACAGAUCCACUGAACCUCAAAAGUAUUCUCUUGGAACUUUCAUUUGACGAUAGAACUCCACACUGCAGGAAAACCUUCCUACUCAUGAUUUUGGAUUAAUUCAAGACAACAUAGAGGGAAUUUUAAAUAUUGUUCUAUUGUGAGAUUAUUUCAUGACUGAAUUAAAACAAAACAGAAGUUAUAUUUUCCAGAAAAGAUAGUUUUUAAUAAUGGAUUAUUUUAUAUAUUUGCAAUCUCAAAGAUAGAGUUGAGGUUGAAAAUUUAACAUGAACAAGAAUAAGUAUUACUGGAUUGUCAGGUAUGGUAUACGAUGCAAUAUGUUGCAGUCAUUCCUUAAUACUUUGCAAAAAUGGCUUUUAUUAUUAACUUCAAUCAAGUUCUCUAGUUCAGUAAGCUUGCCAGAACACUAAAUUUUUAGAUAAUUUAUCUUUCUAAUUAAGGUUUUACCUAAAUUUUAUGUGAUUUUAUCUGGAAAUUACGUUGUAGCCUUUAAAGAUAACAGUAAAUGAAAAACACCUGUCAUUAAUAUGUGAACUCCAAAGAACAGGGAGUUCAAGGGUCUAUGCAUAUUCAAAUAAUAUUGAGGAAACAAAACUGCAGUUUGGUUUAGUUUAAUAGCUGCACUAGAAAUAUAAUAAAUUCCCUAUUCAGGAAAAACCA